RNAcentral lists this transfer RNA (70 nucleotides) under Tolmerinus auronotatus. RNAcentral's name for it is "tRNA-Lys". The record is from RNAcentral. Lineage: Eukaryota; Metazoa; Arthropoda; Insecta; Coleoptera; Staphylinidae.
CAUUAGAUGGCUGAAAGUAAGUACUGGUCUCUUAAACCAUUUUAUAAUAAACUAACGUCUAUUUCUAAUG